GGGCAAGCAGCACAGCUGAAUGCUUCCCUCAGCUUAACCAAAGGAAAUUAAAUACAGAAAAAGGGCCAAACAGCCACCCCUGCCUCCCCACUGCAGCCCGAUACCCAGCUCCCAGCCAAGAGUUGGAUAACCCCAUGCACUGGGAUGUUUGUAGGAAAAGAAAUACCUGAAGUUAGUGCUUAUGGUGGGAAGCUCAGAGAUAAAGCUAACUGACUUGGUGUUCUGCCAUCGGUACACUCCCUACUGCACUGAGAGUGAAAUAUUUGAUAUGUCGCUCCCCGACAGCAAAAGGAACCACUCACAGACAACAAAGGAAAGCAGAGGAAGAAAUUUCUGGGAUUCAUCUUUUCCCUGGACUUUGCUAUAUGAGCCUUAGAUACAGACUUCACUCCAGGAGAAGACAGCUGCACAUGCAUCUCUCCAGAGCCUGGUAAUAAGACUCAGAGGUAUAGACAGAGCAGAAAGCUUUACUAUAAUGUCUCCACAGUACUCUUCUGGGAAUAAGAGUUAGCAUGUGAAUUGAACUUGCACCCAGUUAUCUCAUGGCUGCAGCUUACCCUCAAUCACAAGACAAAAAUACUACAUAAUAUACUGUGGGGAACAAUUCUUGAUUGUUUCCAGGGCAUGGAUUAAGUGUAGCCAAAUGACUCCCUUUCUCUAACUCACAGUCUUUUAUGGCCAGCAGGCCAGUCAAAUCCUUCAUGUUUAAAUAGAAAACCUGAAAAUGGAUCACAAUAUACUCUACACUUUUACCACACUGUGUUCAAAGUACAUUUUUUUUAUUCUUAUUUAAAUGCAAGUAAUUUAAUGUAUGGAUAUAUAGUGUCAUGUCCUAGAGUGAUUUUGUACUGACAGUUCUAGCAUAUCAUAAUCCGUGAAAUCUUGGAAUAAAAAUACCCCUGCAUUUCUUA
This is a long non-coding RNA of Pezoporus occidentalis (night parrot), 911 nucleotides long. RefSeq lists it as uncharacterized. The record is from RefSeq and is a predicted model, not a curated record. NCBI's taxonomy places the organism in Eukaryota, Metazoa, Chordata, Aves, Psittaciformes, Psittacidae. The transcript has 2 exons.